RNAcentral lists this ribosomal RNA (914 nucleotides) under Burkholderia sp. AS5(7). RNAcentral's name for it is "bacterial SSU rRNA". It matches the Rfam family "Bacterial small subunit ribosomal RNA", at positions 1 to 916 of the family's 1533-position model. The record is from RNAcentral. Lineage: Bacteria; Pseudomonadati; Pseudomonadota; Betaproteobacteria; Burkholderiales; Burkholderiaceae.
UAGAGUUUGAUCCUGGCUCAGAUUGAACGCUGGCGGCAUGCCUUUACACAUGCAAGUCGAACGGCAGCACGGGGGCAACCCUGGUGGCGAGUGGCGAACGGGUGAGUAAUACAUCGGAACGUGUCCUGUAGUGGGGGAUAGCCCGGCGAAAGCCGGAUUAAUACCGCAUACGAUCUACGGAAGAAAGCGGGGGAUCUUCGGACCUCGCGCUAUAGGGGCGGCCGAUGGCAGAUUAGCUAGUUGGUGGGGUAAAGGCCUACCAAGGCGACGAUCUGUAGCUGGUCUGAGAGGACGACCAGCCACACUGGGACUGAGACACGGCCCAGACUCCUACGGGAGGCAGCAGUGGGGAAUUUUGGACAAUGGGGGAAACCCUGAUCCAGCAAUGCCGCGUGUGUGAAGAAGGCCUUCGGGUUGUAAAGCACUUUUGUCCGGAAAGAAAACUUCCUGGUUAAUACCUGGGGAGGCUGACGGUACCGGAAGAAUAAGCACCGGCUAACUACGUGCCAGCAGCCGCGGUAAUACGUAGGGUGCGAGCGUUAAUCGGAAUUACUGGGCGUAAAGCGUGCGCAGGCGGUUUGUUAAGACAGAUGUGAAAUCCCCGGGCUUAACCUGGGAACUGCAUUUGUGACUGGCAAGCUAGAGUAUGGCAGAGGGGGGUAGAAUUCCACGUGUAGCAGUGAAAUGCGUAGAGAUGUGGAGGAAUACCGAUGGCGAAGGCAGCCCCCUGGGCCAAUACUGACGCUCAUGCACGAAAGCGUGGGGAGCAAACAGGAUUAGAUACCCUGGUAGUCCACGCCCUAAACGAUGUCAACUAGUUGUUGGGGAUUCAUUUCCUUAGUAACGUAGCUAACGCGUGAAGUUGUCCGCCUGGGGAGUACGGUCGCAAGAUUAAAACUCAAAGGAAUUGACGG